AUAUAUAUAUAUAUAUAUAUAUAUAUACUCCAGUAUUUCAUCCGGUCGGUUUGGAUGAUGUAGUUGUAAAACCUGCUCUGUGUGAGCAUUCGACUUGUUUGGGAAUGCUUACAUUAAAAGACAAUUUUAGAAUUACUUUUUAUCUGUCAAAACACUAAAAAUAACUGACCAACAAAAAAAGAAAAUCCAACCAAGAUUCAACCAAAUCAAAAAAUAAACCCAAAUACUAAGCGAACAAAGAUGAACCAUCCCACUUCCA
Molecule: long non-coding RNA, 259 nt
Organism: Octopus sinensis (East Asian common octopus)
Lineage: Eukaryota; Metazoa; Mollusca; Cephalopoda; Octopoda; Octopodidae
Exons: 2
Source: RefSeq, a predicted model, not a curated record